GACGAACGCUGGCGGCGUGCUUAACACAUGCCAGUCGAACGAUGAUGCUCCAGCUUGCUGGGGUGGAUUAGUGGCGAACGGGUGAGUAACACGUGAGUAACCUGCCCCCUUCUUCGGGAUAAGCUUGGGAAACUGGGUCUAAUACUGGAUAUUCUGCAAUUGUCGCAUGGUGGUUGUGGGAAAGAUUUUUUGGUGGGGGAUGGGCUCGCGACCUAUCAGCUUGUUGGUGGGGUGAUGGCCUACCAAGGCGUCGACGGGUAGCCGGCCUGAGAGGGUGACCGGCCACACUGGGACUGAGAUACGGCCCAGACUCCUACGGGAGGCAGCAGUGGGGAAUAUUGCACAAUGGGCGCAAGCUUGAUGCAGCGACGCCGCGUGAGGGAUGACGGCUUUCGGGUUGUAAACCUCUUUCGAUGGGGAACAAGGCCAUAUUUUUGUGUGGUUGAGGGUACCUGUAUAAGAAGCGCCGGCUAACUACGUG
This 481-nucleotide ribosomal RNA is filed under the name uncultured bacterium. RNAcentral's name for it is "partial 16S ribosomal RNA". It matches the Rfam family "Bacterial small subunit ribosomal RNA", at positions 28 to 507 of the family's 1533-position model. The record is from RNAcentral.